AACCGCCGAGCCUUGCGGAUGAUCUAAAUUUGCACUCUCACAGUAUUAUUGCGUCUUCGCAAUACUUCAUCACACUUGAAAGAAAUUUUUCUCCGUUCUAAAACACGGCGAGUAUCUCGCUUACGUUUUGACGUCAUGAUCAACAUGCCGGUCAUGGCAUCCUACGGUACGUGCAUAUCCAUGAAUGAACUGCGCAAAUAAGAACAGUGGGCCAAGUAUUGAUUACAGUGGCUAACCAUCGUCAAAGUGUAUUGUGCGUAUACGUAUUUUCCAAUGUCAGAUGUUUGUGAGAAUUCGAGUUCCGUCGUGGAGGACGGAUCGCCUCCGAGAAUCGCUACUUUUUUUACGAAAAAAAUGGAUCAAGACGUUCCGAAGUUGCUGGAUCGCGAAGACGCGUUCUUCUGGCCAAAUUCUGACCCGACAGUAUGGAUGAGGUCAUGUGAACACGAAGUUAUCGAACCGAUGUCAGGGAAAAAUUUCGGCACUAUGCCCACCUGGUUGAAAGGGACCUUACUGAGGAAUGGACCGGGGAGUUUGAAAGUUGGCGAAUACAGAUUCGACCAUUUAUUCGACAGCUCAGCGCUACUGCACAGGUUUGAGAUAAAGGAUGGAAAAGUGACUUAUCAGAGACGGUUUGUCCAGACUGACGCUUACAAGAGAAAUCAUGCAGCCCAAAGGAUAGUUCUAACUGAAUUCGGAACGAGCGUCGUACCGGAUCCGUGUAGAACAAUUUUCCAAAGAGUGGCGGCUGUUUUCAACGCCGAGGACACGAUGACUGACAAUUCGAUGAUAUCGGUCUACCCAUUCGGUGAUGAAUUUUACACCUUCACCGAGGCGCCAUUCAUCCAUCGGAUAGACCCGGAGACUUUGGAAACGAAAAGCAAGCUUUGCAUAUCCAAUUACGUGGGCGUAGUUAAUCACACUGCGCAUCCGCAUGUAAUGACCGAUGGGACCGUGUAUAACCUCGGGAUGAGCAUCACGGCACGAGGACCUGCCUACAGUGUGAUUUGCUUUCCACCAAACCGCAUCACUGUCGACGAAACGGGGAACGAGAAGAAACUGUCGAUGUUCGAUCAGGCCACCGUUGUUGCGACCGUCCACUCGAGAUGGACGUUGAAUCCGUCGUACAUGCACACGUUUGGAAUAACCGACAAUUACUUUAUAAUCAUCGAACAGCCACUGUCCGUCGCAUUGCUGACCAUGGCAGUGAGUCAGUUUACGAAUGAUCGUUUAUGCAGUUGCCUCAAGUGGUACGAAAACGAAAAGACUCUGAUACACCUGAUCUCCCGGAAAACUGGUCUGAUCGAGAGAACUUUCGUUGCGGAGCCGUUCUUCUUCCUUCACAUAAUCAAUCAGUUCGAAACCAGUGACGGAAAAUAUGUUGUUUUGGAUGUUUGCUGUUACAAAGAUGCAAAAAUGCUCGACUGCAUGUACAUCGACGUUAUGAAGGACAUGCAUUCAAACCCUGACUACGCGAAGUUGUUUCGUGGCCGACCAUUGCGUUUCAUAUUGCCAAUUGUUCCUCUAACGGCUGACGUUCCUAAGGAAUACGACUUGAUCGAAGAUCCAAUCGAGUGUAGAAAUCCGGUGAUAAUUACCGACAGAGAUAAAACGAAGGAUGAAGCAAAGGCAGAUUUGAACGAGAAGUCUGCAGUAUUUGAUGGUAUUGUUCGAAAAAAAGCCACGGCGGAACGACUUUCGAAUGGAAAAGUUUUCGUGAGCCCGGAAAUGCUUUGCGAUUUAGGCUGCGAGACACCCAGGAUAAAAUAUUCUCUCGUGGGAAAAGAGUACAGAUAUUUUUACGCCAUAUCUAGCGAUGUUGAUAUGGACAAUCCAGGAACGAUCAUCAAAGUGGAUACUGUCACGAAAACUACGAAAACUUGGUGCGAGAAUAACGUUUUUCCUAGUGAGCCGAUAUUCGUUCCAAAUCCAAACGGAAAGAAAGAAGACGAUGGUGUCAUAGUUUCGGCUCUUAUCUGGGGACAAGAUCGAGAAACUGAGGUUGGGCUGUUGGUGUUGGAUGCAGAAACGUUGGAGGAAAUAGCUCGUUCGACGUUCGAUACGCCGGGACCAGUGCCGAAAUGUUUGCACGCAAUUUUCAUGGGCCAUUCGUCACUUGCGCAAAACUUCUAUCCUUAAUUCAAGUCGUCAUGUUUCAUCAACGUUUUACUUACAAUUUUUACAAACCGAAUGAAGAUAAUAUUUUUCUUCGAGAUCGAAUUGUCGUUACACGAACGAUUUAAAUAAUAUACAAUGCUCAAAUAUAACGAAUAAUAUGUGAAAUAUAAAAUUUGAAUUCACAAAAAAAAAAUCAAUUCUAAAAAGUAACGCAGCAUAAAAACAUUAGGAACAAGAUCAGAAGUAUUGUUGUUCGUUCGAAUUCGAUGAAAUAGUGAAAAUCAACAGACCUGAGUAAUGUUAGCGACACAGUUACCUACGCUAUAGUAUAUGCAUAAGUGUAUAACGUAUAAUAUAACAGGUGUAUGAAAUAUAAUCUAAUCUAUGUUAAUGUUGUCAACAGAAAACAUUUUUUUAU
This 2536-nucleotide unclassified non-coding RNA is filed under the name Neodiprion lecontei (redheaded pine sawfly). Its description in RNAcentral is "carotenoid isomerooxygenase, transcript variant X10". The record is from RNAcentral. Lineage: Eukaryota; Metazoa; Arthropoda; Insecta; Hymenoptera; Diprionidae.